Molecule: long non-coding RNA, 1345 nt
Filed under: Equus caballus (horse)
Lineage: Eukaryota; Metazoa; Chordata; Mammalia; Perissodactyla; Equidae
Description: lncRNA (ENSECAG00000048994.1)
Source: RNAcentral
UACUUUCCAGUAAUAAACUGACUCCUGGACGGUGUGCAAAUAGGCUGGACAUAGUAGUUCUCCAGUUUAACUCCUUCAGCAGCAAGUUUGUCAAGAGUGGGAGUCUUUAUCUCCGAUCCGUGGUAACCCACAUCUCUAAAUCCCUGAUCAUCGGCUAGGAUGAAAAUGAGAUGGGGCUGGGAGGUGGAGGCUGUGCUGGGCUCCGGCCUUUCUCCAGCUUGAGCUCGGAAGGCCGCUUCCUCCUCGUCCUCCAAGCCCUGGCCCCAGGACAGGUAACCAUAGGUGAGGAGGCUGAGGACCCAGAAGCCUGCCAGCGCCCCCAUGGCUAGCAUCUUUCCCGGCCAGACCCAGGCCUGCAGAGGCGGCGGAGGCGGAUGCCCCGCGCAUUCCCUGGGGGCCAUUCACUCGGGUCCCAGCUGACACUCGACACGCAGAACCACGCACCCCGCGCCGCCGCCGGCGCACACAUGCACGCGGGAGGGGUGGACCGAGCAGGCGGCGGAGGGUCUCCACCCGGAAAGAAGCCCUGCGCUCCUCUCAGGAUCAGCACGUCCCACAACUUGAAUCUUCUAGAAGUGAUGGCUUAAGGGAUGGGCCGUCGGGAAAGCAAGGAGUCGCUCUUCUCCAUCAGAUUUCACUUUCUCCUCCUCCUCCUCGCUCCCCAGAGCAGCUUCCACAAAAAAAGUUAAUACCUCCACCCAAAAGUUCUUGGGAGAAAAAAUUCAACUAAGGAAUGGAGAAUCCCCUUGGGCGGGGGAUUUUCCAGGGCGCUCUCAACGUUGGGGAGCGGGGCUCCCCCGAGGGCGCGCGCACGGAUGGCGGUGGGUCAUCAGCCCGUCCAGCGGUCCCCUCACCUGGAAAACACUGGGAAGUUGAGCCGCCGCGCCUCGCUCUUACCCGGGCAGAUGAGGCGCUGCCCGGAGCGGACCGGCUGCCCGAUCACCGUCUGCACUUUCACAGGGCUCUCUCUUUCUCCCGGUCCUCUCCAAGGCGUUUGUCAAUCUUCCCGACACUCACCAGGCGGCGAAGUGAGAGAGAAGGCCGUUUCCUGACCUCCCUCCGGCGCUACCUCCCCUCCUUUGCAGGAACUGCGGGCAGCGAUUUCUUCUCCGGGCCGCUGGAGCGCGUGGGGACCGCAGCGGGGUCCCUGCCCCCGUGGCCGCUCCACACCGAGCCCGCUUGGUCUCCGCAGAGUUGGUGCACCCGGCGGAGGCGCUGCAAGCUGCGGUGUCUCCAGCCAAGAAGGUGGGGAAGAAGAGGGGAGACAGUUCACCCUCCAGAACCGCGAGGCCAGUCUGCGCUCCUGCAGUAAGGAAGCCACCGUUUCCCAUCCAGUAAUUCCGGG